AUAUGUUUUGAGAAUGAAUAUGUAAGCAGUGUGUUGUUUUGGUUCCGAGAUUGUUCCUUGUCAAACCUCUUACUGAGAGGACUGGUCAUUGAUUUUUAUCUUCGUAAUUUCGUUGUUGAUUGAAGUAUGUAAUUUGAAAUUGAAUUUCAAAGGAGAAUUGAGAAUAUUUGAAAGCAUCCAAGAAAAUUUGAGAGUAUCAAAGAAGAUUUGAUUAUAUCGAAGAUGCCGAAAGUUCUGGAUAAAGUCCUUUUCGUUCAAAAGCCGAUGGGCCUGACUAGGGAGAAGAAGCCGUAUGGAUGCGAGUUUUGCUAUAUACGGCACUGCAUGAUCUACUGUGUGAAUGAUCAUGCAGUGGGGCGCUUUGAAGGCAACAUCAUGCGUUGCAUGUUUUGCGAGAAGCGUUUCCGGGUGAAGGAGAACUUCGCCAGACAUCUGCACAAGAUCCAUUUGACCAUGGCGCAGGAGAUUGUAUGGGAGAACUGAUUGCGAUGGAGGUCCCAAGGUGAUUGAGGUCCCCAGGUGACUUCUCACUUAUGGAGAAUUUCAAUUCGGACAACCAUGACGGACAAUUAAUAGCUGUAUUGUAUUAGUAUUGUAAUUAAGGGAACUUGGUACCCCAAAUUUAUUUGCUGUCGUUAAAUGUUGAUUUCCGAAAUUUAAAUUUCUGAACAGGAAAAAUAUUUAAGAAAUUUAAAGUUCAAAAUUUAUUAAAUUUUUAUAAAAAAAUUACCAGGGUAUUUUUAAAUGCUUUUUUUUUAAGUACCUCUAAUGGAAUAAGGCAUCCGCUUUUGGAUAUCUAUUGUUCAUUUACUGUUAGUGUUAAUUUUGAAGGAAAAAAAAUGUUAGUUAAAAAAAUUUUGGGAUUUUUUCACUUUUGAUAUUUUUAAAAAUUUCUCUAAUUAAUAUUUUUGAGAAUCGAUGCCUAAUUCUAUUUAUUUUUCUGCUUUCACAGAAAAAAAUAUUUGAUUAUUGUGAUUAAAGGAACUUAGUACCCCAAAUUUUUUUCUACAAUUUUCUCAAUCUAUUUUGUCUUGUUGUCAUAAAAUGUAAACUCAGAAAUUUAAAUUUUAAAAAUAAUUUUUCCUGUUCAGAAAUUAUAAAUUUAAUUUUUUUUUUUUUAAGUGAGCUUUUAAUGGUUCUUGUCAUUCAAUUUUCAAAAUUUGUUCAUCGAUUUUUUUAAAAGAAUCCUCUAAAUGAACCUAAUGCCAUUAAGAACCCAAUUUUGGAUAUCUAGUGUUUGUUUAUUGUUAGUUUUGGAGGCAAAAAUGUUAGUGACUUUUUGAAAAGUUAGAUUUUUAGCUUCUGCUGUUUAAAAAAAUAUAUAUAUAUUUUUAAAACUCUGUCAGCAAAGUUGAUAUUACUUAUUUUACAAAAAAGGAUUAUAUAAUUAUUGUGAUUCAGGAAACUUGGUUUCCUAGUUUUUUUUCUACGAUUUUCACAAAAUCUACUUGUUUUGCUGUAAUUAAAUGUAAUGUAAAUUUUAAAAAUAUUUUUUCCUGGACAAAAAUUUAAAAUUUAAUUUUUUUUAAUUGAGCUUUUAAUGGUUCUUCUCAUUCAAUUUUCAAUAUUGGUUGAUACAUUUAUAUAUAUAUAUAUAUGUGUGUAUAUAUAAAGGAAUCCUCUAAAUGAACUUAAUGGCAUUCAGAAUUCAAUUUUGGAUAUCUAGUGUUUGCUUAUUGUUAGUUUUGAAGACAAAUUUUUUUGAAAAUUUGGAUUUUUUUUCAUUUUUGUUGUUUAUUUUUAUUUAUUUAUUUUUUUAUUUAUUUAUUUUUUAUUUAUUUUUUUAACUCUGUCAACAUAGUUGAUGUUUCACAGAAAAGAAUUAUUUGAUUAUUGCGAUUUAGAAAACUUGGUUCCCCAGUUUCUUUCUACAAUUUUCACAAAAUCUAUGUUGUUUUGCUGUAAUUAAAUGCAAACUCAGAAAUUUAAAAUUUAAUUUCUUUAUUGAGCUUUUAAUGCUUCUUGUCAUUCAGUUUUCAAUAUUUGAUAAUCGAUUUUUUUUAUAUAUAAAGAAUCCUCUACAUGAACUUGAUGGCAAAAAUGUUAAUAAUUUUUUCUAAGUUGGAUUGUCUUUUUUUUUUUUUUUUUUUUUUUUUCCCCCUUCAUUUUUGCUAUUCAAAAAAAAUUAAUAUUUUUAAAAAUCGAUCUACAAAGUUGAUAUUACUUAUUUCACAGAAAAGAAUUAUUUGAUUAAUGUGAUUUAGGGAACUUGAUUCCCCAGUUUUACAGUUUUAACAAAAUCUGCUUUAUUUUGUUGUAAUUAAAUGCAAACUCAGAAAUUUAAAUUUUUAAAAUAUUUUUAUUUUUCUGUUCAGAAAUUUAAAAUUUGAAUUUUUAAUUGAGCUUUUAAUGCUUCUUGUCAUUUAAUUUUCAAUAUUUAUUAAUCGAUUUUUUAAAAAGAAUCUUCUAAAUGAACUUAAUGGCAAACAGAACCCAGUUUUGGAUAUCUAGUGUUUGUUUAUUGUUAGUUUUGGAUAUGUACUCUUUUUUCAUUGUUAAUUUUGGGGACAAAAAUGUUGGUGUGUUUCAAAAAUGUUUUGAAAAAUUGGAUUUUUUUUACUUUUGGUGUUUAAAAAAAAAUAUUUUUAAAAUGCUAUCAAAAAAGUUGAUAUUACUUAUUUCACAGAAAAGAAUUAUUUGAUUAUUGUGAUUCUCAGAAAACUUGGUUCGCCAGUUUUUUUCUAAAAUUUUCACAAAAUCUGCUCUGUUUUGUUGUAAUAAAAUGUAAACUCAUAAAUUAAAAUUUUUAAUUAAGUUUUUAAUACUUCUUGGUGUUCAAUUUGCAAUAUUUGUUGAUCACUUUUUUUUUUUUUUUUAAAGAAUCCUAAAUGAACUUAAUGGAAUUAGGAAUCCAAUUUUUGAUAUUUAGUAUUCGUUUAGUGUUAGUGUUAGUUUUGGAGAAAAAAAUUUUUUACUCAAAAACUUUUGUCAUUUUUUGAAAAUUUGAUAUUUUCGCUUUUGCUGUUUGUACAAAUUUUUCUAAUGAUAUUUAAAAUAGCUUAGUCAAAAAAAAAUAUUGUAAUAUUUUGAAAAAUUGGAUUUUUUCACUUUUAUAAUUUUUUUUAAAAAUUUCUAAUUGAUAUUUUUAUAAUUCAAUGCCUAAUUCCAUUAAGUUGACUUUUUGAUUUCGCAGAAAAAAGUUUCAAAAAAUUUGAAUAAAAUUUGUUUUGUUUUAUAGUAGACAUGAUUUCAGAAAAAAAUAUUUUUGAACACAAAAUCGGCAUUUUUAUCCACUUUAGGGUACCAAGUCCCCUUAAAAAAUGGUAGCUGUUCAUAGUUCUUGAAAUCCAAAUUGAAAAAUAAAGUUCCGUCAUCAUUGA
Long non-coding RNA from Argiope bruennichi, 3320 nucleotides. RefSeq lists it as uncharacterized. The record is from RefSeq and is a predicted model, not a curated record. Lineage: Eukaryota; Metazoa; Arthropoda; Arachnida; Araneae; Araneidae. The transcript is spliced from 3 exons.